GCUAGGAGCGGUUACAUUCGUUCAGUGAAGACUCCAAGCGGCGGCAGCAGCAGCGACUUGGAGCCUGAAGGAGCAAGGGAGGGAAAGGCUGCAGCUCGCCCGGCUCUUUCUCUCUCUCUGCCACCUACUCAGCGGCAGCAGCACUCCAAGCCAAGGGGCCCCUGCCUGUCUCUCGCUGGGUCUGCCCGCUUGCCACCCAGCGCUGGGCACGCACUGCAGAUCUCCAGUGGAAGAAGCACGAAAAGGGGAGAUUUUGAUGCUAGGAGCCCCCCUCCGCCCCAUCUCUGCACACAGCGGGGACAGCACCCCCGCGCCGGGGGCGGGCAUGGAACCCUGCGGAUGCGCUUUCCAGGGGCUCCGGGAGCUGAUACUCGAAGUGGAUUUAUAGAGCGAAGCUUCCCUUCGCCAUCCCUGCACAGCCCGGGCCGGUGGCCGCACGGAUUGCACGCGCCGGGGACCAGGGAGCACAAUCAGAGACCCAGGGGGAUCCUCCUGGCGGAGGCCGGGUCCCUUCUCCCCUUUAAUCGCCCCCAUCUCCAGUUCUGCUCGGUUUUUAUUUUACGCGAUCCCCAGGCGCGGUGACCGUGGAUGGCGCACUGGAUCCAAAGCGGAGUUGGCAGUUUGAGUGGCGUCUUGCAAGCCAGCCGGGAGCUCCCAAAGAGCAGGGCGGACUGAGGCGUUUGCAUUGGUGGUGGCGUUGUUACUUCGGAGGUGGCUGGAUUCUUAUCUCGCCGGAGAAUUUCCGACAUGCCUGGGGCACAAAUGACUCAGUAACGCUGCUUGCAGUUCUCACCAAGUGCUUCGUCGCUCGUCUUGUUGUUGGUUUGUUUCCGGUCAAUCUUUCUUGCUGGGGGAUACCGAGCGUCCACCCGCCCCCGCUGACCAGGUACGGGGAGUCGCACGGAGGAGUUGGCGAGGUUUUGGCAAGGGACUUGGAGCCGCUUUCGACCAUGGCUGUGCGGAGGGGAGACUCCUCCCUUUGGAAGUACUGCUGGGGAGCUUUGAUGGUUUUAUGCAGAACUGCAAUGGCCAGAUCGGUAGUUUUAGACCCGAUAUAUUGGAAUUCCUCCAACCCCAAAUUCCUUCCUGGACAAGGACUGGUACUAUACCCACAAAUAGGAGACAAACUGGAUAUUAUAUGCCCAAAGGUGGACUCUAAAACUGUUGGCCAGUAUGAGUAUUAUAAGGUCUACAUGGUUGAUAAAGACCAAGCAGAUAGCUGUACUAUUAAAAAGGGCAACACACCUCUACUCAACUGUGCCAAGCCAGAUCAAGAUGUUAAAUUUACCAUCAAGUUUCAAGAGUUCAGCCCUAACCUCUGGGGCCUGGAAUUUGAGAAGAAAAAAGAUUAUUACAUUAUAUCAACAUCAAAUGGGUCAUUAGAGGGCCUGGAUAACCAGGAGGGAGGGGUGUGCCAGACAAAAGCCAUGAAGAUCCUCAUGAAAGUUGGACAAGAUCCCAAUUCUGCUGGAUCACCCCGUAAUACGGGUCCAACUAAACGUCCCGAACAAGAAGCUGGUACCAAUGGAAAAAGCUCCACAACGAGUCCAUUUGUAAAGGAUAAUUCAGGAUCCAGCACAGAUGGCAGUAAGGCUGGACAUUCCAGUAUACUUGGUUCAGAGGUGGCCUUAUUUGCAGGGAUUGCAUCAGGGUGCAUCAUUUUCAUCGUCAUCAUCAUCACUUUGGUGGUUCUUUUAUUGAAGUACCGGAGAAGACACAGGAAGCAUUCACCCCAGCACACUACAACUCUGUCACUUAGUACGUUAGCCACCCCAAAACGUAGUGGCAACAACAAUGGUUCUGAGCCAAGUGACAUUAUCAUUCCUCUAAGGACUGCAGACAGUGUUUUUUGCCCUCACUAUGAAAAGGUCAGCGGAGACUAUGGACAUCCAGUGUAUAUAGUUCAAGAGAUGCCUCCUCAGAGUCCAGCAAACAUUUAUUACAAAGUCUGACAAACUGUGGUACCUUUGAGUUAUAGAGGAAACUUACUGGUCAGAUGCUUUCUGUUGGGGUUUGUGAUGACCCCCUUGUGCACUAGUAUUGACUCAGGCACAGGGGGAAAGGGCAACACCCUUUUCUCAGAGAGCCUUCUUGAGCUGGACAGCUUAUCUAGUCUGUAGAAUUCCUGUCUCAGUGAACAAACAUUCACUAAAAGCUGGAAGACUUUCCGUAGAAGAUACCCAUUCUCUGAUUGCUGUAUUCUUGUUACAUUCAUCAUCCUCGAAGCCAUGUGCUGCAGGCAUCCAGGCAUAUACAAAAGCCAAGGGAAGAUGGAGUGAUUUGUGGACGUUUAAUAGAUCUAGGCAUCCUGGGAAGGUGCUCUAGGAUAUCAGGCUUGAAAUGCAAUCUUACGACUUUUUGUGUCUCUCUCUCAGUGCAGACUGGAUUUGUCACACAGACCUCGGCAUCUAACCUGUCAUAGGUUUGAAAUCUGCUUUAGUUCCACAUUGCAAUUAGCCCCCAGAAAAUGAAAAUUAUGAAAAUCACAUUCCACAUCUGUUUCAAACUGAAUUUGUUCUUAAAAAAAUAAAAUAUUUUUUUCCUAUGGAAAUCUUGCCUUCUAAGUAUUUUCUUUAGUUUUUGAUUAUUUAUUUUUUUCCUUUUUCUUAGUUUUCUUUUUCUUUUUUUUAAAAAAAAUUCUCCACAGCUUUAUAGGGAGAACUUAAGUCUACUUUUGUUUCAAAUUAGGGCCCUGAUCCUGCAACCUGAUUCGUAUUGGCUGAUCACUAUGCCCACAUGGAGCCCCACUGAAGUCAGUGGGUGCCAUUAAGGCAUAGGGGCCUACUAACAUGGAUCAGCUUGUGGAAUGAGGGCCUGGUGUCUUACUUGCAGACACUUAACUUGAAGUCAGUGGGAUUUCUCAGUGUCCCAGUGCUCACAAUACUUAACUACAUGUUUAUCAUUACUAUCGGUGAGUAGUCCUAGUGAAAUCAAUGGGACUAUUCAUGUCAAUAAAGUUAAAGUGCAUAAGAUUUCCCAGGAUUGGGUCCUAUGACAUACAAGCUAACACAAGCCUUAAUACAGAAUAUGUGGGUGUGCUGCUCUAUAAUUUUCACUUAAACAACUGACACCCACAUUUAACAAAUACUGUCAUUUUUUUCACAAAGCCCAGUCACCAUGAAAGCACAUAAUUUGAACAAUCAUCUGUAGAGUAAUAUAUGGGGAGGUCUGAGGAGGGGAAAGAUGCCUUUGUCACUUUAACAAUUGAUGCCAAGUUGUCUUAAGAGUUUCCAUUCGAGAAAGGCAGCUAGUUAUUCAUAGCUUUUGGUCGUGUAAUUCCCAUUUGUCAAAUUAUUUGUCUUUGCUGAAUAAUCAAGGAAAGAAUGGUUGACAGAUGAAAAGUAAACUUAUAAGUGAAGCAUGAGAUGCAGUGACACUUUUUUUAUACUGGACUUGAGGGAAGCCCUAGAGAAUGUCAGUGACUUUAAUUUGCUGUGCCAUAGACUCCCUGUAUGACCUUGAGCCAGUCACUUGGGCCCUGCUCCAGCAAAGCACUUAAGUAUAUGUAUAACCAAGCAUAUGAGUAGUCCCAUUGACUUCUCAGGCAAGUCACUUGGGCCUGAUCCUAUAAAAUCUUAUGCAUGUAGAUGAUUUUAUUUGGGACUACUUGUGCUUUAAGUUACGGGGAUGCUUUGCUGGCCCAGGGCUUUAGUCUCCCUGUCUUCACUCCCUAGUUGUAUAUGGGAUUAACAAUAUUUCAUUAUCUUACUAGGGUCUCAUGAGAGUAUACAUUCACCAUUGUGAGGUGCUGAGAUACUCUGCUGAUGGGGUGGGGGGCAUAUAAAUAAACAGAUAGACACUCCAUUCAGUCUGUUACAUUUCUUUUGGUGAAUGGUAUGUGCCUUAUAGAAGUACACCCAACAUAAAGCUGCUGACUUAGUCCAUCUUUUAUAACAUGCAGAGAAAAAAAAUGUACUUGUAUUUUUGCACUGCUGCUGACACUGCACUAUUAAUUAUCAAACAAGCACAAAAUCAAAAUUUACUGCCCUCAUUAUGAAGCCUGGUUCCCCAGUAGGAGUCUGUCUGAGUCAAUAGGCUCUGCUAAGUGGAAAAUAAAAUUAUAAUGUACAGUUGUUAUCCAUCUAAAGUGGAGUAAGAAUCUAUUACAUAAAAUAUUGUCUCACAGAGUAAGCAUAGCAAAAUGUUACUAUCUAUGUCUGAAGUGUUCUCUCUUUUGAACAUUGCAAUGUUGCAUCAAUCAAAUGCUCACUCAAUGAGUGACACACUUUGUUUCCAUGAACACUGUAAAUUCCCUUUCUGCAGAAAAUUUACUCAUUCAAAAACUGGUGUAAUAGCAACAGAAAUGAGAAAAGUCAAUAAAAUAUGGAAAACGACUUUUGAAGAAUGAUCUUGGUCUUUGUAGCCACCAAAGAUAAAAUUGGGAUGGGGGGCGGGAGGGGAGGCAACAAAUCCCGGUGUGGUAAAAUACAAAACCUACUGGUGACACAGUUGUUACUUCACUAUGAGAAGCAUCAGAUUGCAAGUAGGGUGAUGACUUUUUGAAAAAAGGAAGGGAGCUGGGAGUUAGAACUCUUUGGUUUUGUUGCCAGUGAUGGACUGCAUGGCCUUGGCUUGUUGACUCUUCUGUAGUUUGUAAAAUGAGAUUCUAUCUACAUACAAUUUAACUCACAGGCGUGCUCUGAGGCUUAAUUAAACAGGGCUUCAUGUUCCUCUUAGUAGUUGUCAGACAGGUAAUGGUGAUGAUGGAAAGAAGAAUGAUAGGAGGUGUGGUGUUCACAUGGCAUCUUCCUAUUUGUGCAUGGAACUUCUGCCCAUGCUGAAAGUGGGAACAGAGCCUAACAGCCUUGCCAAACAUGGGCACGGUUCUACCCACACAUGAUGGAGGUGGAGAGCAGGUCCUAAAGAAGGAUGGGGUGGAGCCGAGGGGGGAAGAAUCUGCUUGAGCAGUGCUGGGAAUGGCAGGGAGGGGUGCAGAGAAGAACCAGUAAUUGUGAGAGCAGUGGGGAGCCAAACUGGACCUAGAGGUCAGACCCAGUUCUGGGGGUAGCUGGACACAAGAGGUGCCAUUGCUGAUGAUAAUGGCAUGGUGCAGAUUUUGGAAAAGAUGUUGCAAAGCUGAACAGGACAUGGAGAAAAGUGCUGACACUGGAAAGGGAAAUCAGGAUUUCCAGGUGAUGGACUGUACUAUGAGCAGGGGGGGAAGCCAGGUUCUAGGCAGUUCUGCCAAUGGAUACUGGGAGGAGAGAAGGAACAUGCAGUUGAGAGGACAGUGGGAACCAGCAUUCAAAUAUGCCACAGUUAGGAUCGAAGUGAAAGCCAGUGGAAGAGAGAGGGUAGCCAGGAACUGGACUCAGCUGGAGUUACUAGAGAUCCAAAAGCCAAGCCCCCUUGCCACUUAGAUACUGAGCCCUGUGGGGCCUGGUCCGUGUUUUCAUACAUGUAUGGACAGUGUCUAUGGGUGCUGGCGGAAUACAACUAAUUAAACAAGAAGUAGGAAGGGCCUGCCUCAUCUCUCCAAUCUUUGGGUAUCAACGUGGGGAAAGUGAUUGUGUUGUACUCUCUGGCCAGAGCCUCAGCUGGUAUAAAUUAACGUUGCUCGGUUUAGCAUCUGGUUCAAUAUUCUCACAGUCCUGAAUUCUACACUCAUCCACAAUGCUGAUAUAGAUUUGAUUGUUUUAUGGCAUCCCAAGCCCCUCAAUGGGGAGAGAAUGCUUUAUAGAGGUGUCACUACACUUAGCACUACAAUUAGUGGACUGAAAACUAUAUUAAUAACAAUGUGUUUAUAAGUGAUAUUUAAUUUCCAUAAUAAUUGUAAUUUGUAUUUCAUUGGACAUAGA
RNA transcript from Trachemys scripta elegans, 5798 nucleotides. It is a transcript of the gene named ephrin B2, with no coding region annotated. Lineage: Eukaryota; Metazoa; Chordata; Testudines; Emydidae. The transcript has 6 exons. The record is from RefSeq and is a predicted model, not a curated record.